Molecule: ribosomal RNA, 246 nt
Filed under: uncultured bacterium
Lineage: Bacteria
Description: partial 16S ribosomal RNA
Rfam family: Bacterial small subunit ribosomal RNA
Source: RNAcentral
UGCCCUACGGGGGGCAGCAGUGGGGGAUAUUGCACAAUGGGGGCAACCCUGAUGCAGCGACGCCGCGUGAGCGAUGGAGUACUUCGGUAUGUAAAGCUCUGUCAGCAGGGAAGAGAAUGACGGUACCUGACCAAGAAGCCCCGGCUAAAUACGUGCCAGCAGCCGCGGUAAUACGUAUGGGGCAAGCGUUAUCCGGAUUUAUUGGGCGUAAAGCGAGUGCAGGCGGUUCAAUAAGUCUGAUGUGAA